Molecule: ribosomal RNA, 447 nt
Filed under: uncultured bacterium
Lineage: Bacteria
Description: bacterial SSU rRNA
Rfam family: Bacterial small subunit ribosomal RNA
Source: RNAcentral
UGGGGAAUAUUGGACAAUGGGCGCAAGCCUGAUCCAGCCAUGCCGCGUGGGUGAUGAAGGCCCUAGGGUUGUAAAGCCCUUUCGGCGGGGAAGAUAAUGACGGUACCCGCAGAAGAAGCCCCGGCUAACUUCGUGCCAGCAGCCGCGGUAAUACGAAGGGGGCUAGCGUUGCUCGGAAUCACUGGGCGUAAAGCGCACGUAGGCGGCUUCUUAAGUCGGUGGUGAAAUCCUGGAGCUCAACUCCAGAACUGCCUUCGAUACUGAGAGGCUCGAGUCCGGGAGAGGUGAGUGGAACUGCGAGUGUAGAGGUGAAAUUCGUAGAUAUUCGCAAGAACACCAGUGGCGAAGGCGGCUCACUGGCCCGGUACUGACGCUGAGGUGCGAAAGCGUGGGGAGCAAACAGGAUUAGAUACCCAUGUAGUCCCUGAGCGGGCUGGCAAGGCGCAU